Molecule: ribosomal RNA, 321 nt
Filed under: uncultured bacterium
Lineage: Bacteria
Description: bacterial SSU rRNA
Rfam family: Bacterial small subunit ribosomal RNA
Source: RNAcentral
GAUGAACGCUGGCGGCGUGCUUAACACAUGCAAGUCGAACGAGGAACACUGAUGAAGUUUUCGGAUGGAAUCGGUAUUCCGAGUGGCGGACGGGUGAGUAACGCGUGGGUAACCUGCCCUGUACAGGGGGAUAACAGUUGGAAACGACUGUUAAUACCGCAUAAGACCACAGUGCCGCAUGGCACAGGGGUAAAAACUCCGGUGGUACAGGAUGGACCCGUGUCCAAUUAGCUAGUUGGUGAGGUAACGGCCCACCAAGGCGACGAUUGGUAGCCGAUCUGAGAGGAUGACCGGCCACAUUGGGACUGAGACACGGCCCAA